UAGACAUACAUUUGGUUUUCCAAAAUUUAAAUAUUUUUUUGUAGUAGUUCACUUUUCACAAACCAACGGGAUAUGGGCCUCAUUGAUAAGCGGUUUCAUUAAAAAAUGUUGGAAAAGUAGUGAGUGGUCAAGAUUCGUGUAUUUUUCCUUUGCAUAGCAGACUUUGCAAGAAAAAGGAGUUCGAUGUACAAUAUUAAAAACAACUAAACAACUGUAACACGUGGCGUGUACUUGUGCGAAGCGUGUUGUAACAUCACGAUUUGUGGUCAGUGGUUUCAGGUGAACUUGUGGAACCCAAAACUGAUGAAGUGUUUGUAGCAUGGAAUCGUCAAAACGAACAAGACAUGGCGGUGCUGUUUCUGUCGAUAAGUGCGCCGCAACUCCAUAAAAAAAAAAGCACAAGAGCUAGUGAGAUAUGGAAAGAACUCGAAAAGGUGCAACGACCAACCAUUAAAAAAAGUGAGCCUGUUUAAGCAGUUAUUAAACAAGAGAAUGGCUGAAGGGGACAUUGCUAGCAUGAAAAAGGCAGACGAUAUUACCCUACUUACAAUUUUGGAUACGGUUUCACCUUUACGCGGAUCAUUGUUGCGAAGUGCAAGGUACUGUCAAGCUCUCCUACAUCAUAUGGAAUCUGCACAUAAAAUGGACAUAUCACCGGUCUAACGACCCAAAACCUAGGAGCAAGCUCAAAAAGUUUGUUAUUAAUUCGAAAGAAUAGAUGUUAUGCCAGGGCCAGCUCAGUCGUCGGAUUGGUAACCCAUUAAAUAUGUAUGGUCCCAUUUUUAUUUUGACGAGUAAUAUGGGACUUGCGAAGGGAGAACAACUGGGUCGAAUAAUAUUACAUUGUUGCAGCUCACUCAACUUUUUUCUAACAAUAUGUCUUUCUUCAGGGCUAAGUCUAUAGGGCCGGCGUUGGACAGUUUUAGUAUGGUCAAUCAACCGAAUUUUCAUUUCACCUGUACUAACACGUGUAGAUGGUGUCCCCUUAAUCAGAGCAGUGCACUGCAGUGGAAUAACUUUCAAGUAAUUUUAUUAACUUAUUUUUGUCGGGCUCAAGCAAGUCGGUGUCAAGAUUGGAAAGGUCAACUGGAUCCACAUCUACUGAACAAAUAUUUACAGUUUUGGCUUUUACAAUUUCAAACUUUUUUGGCGAUAUUAUACCGUCAAAUCCCUGAUUAAGGAUUUCGGGACCAAUUACAAUGUUACUAUUUAAAUGUUUAUCUUGUACUAAGUGGAACAAUAUUUGAAGUGAGUUUUCGUUUAUAGUAACCUGGCUUAAAAUCUGCAAUGUGCUGUAUAUACCAGCGUCGCCAAUGCCUUUUACCAUAAUAAAGUUGUUAAAACGUUUUCCAGACAACUUACAACUAAUAUUUUCUUUUAUAAGUGAGCAUUCUGCCCCGGAGUCAAAUGAAAUUGGGUAACACUGGUUCACGGUCUUCUGUUGAAACAAUCCCCGUUGUUUGUUGAUGCAUCUUUUGAACAUUGAUUUGCAAAGUGCCCAGGCCACACUUAAAACAGAAAUGACACAAGACUGCUGACAAUCGUCUCGUCGUUUUUAUAACGGUGAAGAAAUAGUUCCUUGAACUCGUGCCACUUAAUGCCGGGAUAUGAAACUUGGUAUGCCCAUAAAAUGGCCUAUUUGAUUGGACAAAGUAUUCAGAGGAACGUUGCGGAUAUCUUAACGGAAAAAUUGUUUUAUUUGUAAUGCAAAUGUUGUAAUGUAUUAUAUCUAUUUGGAAUAAAUUUGCAAAUUUGCAAAAUUGA
Drosophila willistoni is the source of this 1764-nucleotide long non-coding RNA. RefSeq lists it as uncharacterized. Lineage: Eukaryota; Metazoa; Arthropoda; Insecta; Diptera; Drosophilidae. The record is from RefSeq and is a predicted model, not a curated record. The transcript has 3 exons.